Molecule: ribosomal RNA, 100 nt
Filed under: uncultured bacterium
Lineage: Bacteria
Description: partial 16S ribosomal RNA
Rfam family: Bacterial small subunit ribosomal RNA
Source: RNAcentral
UAGGGAAUUUUCGUUCAAUGGGGGCAACCCUGAACGAGCAAUGCCGCGUGAGCGAAGAAGGUCUUCGGAUUGUAAAGCUCUGUUGCCGGGGAAAAGGAGG